RNAcentral lists this unclassified non-coding RNA (410 nucleotides) under Enochrus morenae. Its description in RNAcentral is "sequence contains ITS2". Lineage: Eukaryota; Metazoa; Arthropoda; Insecta; Coleoptera; Hydrophilidae. The record is from RNAcentral.
AUCGACAUUUCGAACGCACAUUGCGGUCCUCGGAUACUGUUCCUGGACCACUCCUGGCUGAGGGUCGCAUCCAUCAGACUGCCGGCCUUUCGUCUCUCGUAGGCGUGAGGUCGCGCGAAAUUGGGAGUUCGCACGUCCGCUCCUUUCGGACGGACGGCGUCUCCUUAAAUCAAUCUGGGUCGUUUCCGAAAGGUACGACUAUGAGCGUCCGCGCUUUGCGCGAGGAUGGUUCCGCAUUAAAGGCGAGCCGCCCGGCUGACGUGUCCUAGACUAUUACUAGAAGACGUCUGGCUUGUGUGCUCGGUCCGCCCGCGAAACUAUUAAGUCCUCGUUGCGAAUUCUAAGGCACGACGCGACCAGUAUAUCAUUUUGCNNNNCNNANNNUCAUGUGUCCNACNCCCNCNNNNUUC